This is a long non-coding RNA of Tachyglossus aculeatus (Australian echidna), 519 nucleotides long. RefSeq lists it as uncharacterized. The record is from RefSeq and is a predicted model, not a curated record. The transcript is spliced from 3 exons. NCBI's taxonomy places the organism in Eukaryota, Metazoa, Chordata, Mammalia, Monotremata, Tachyglossidae.
GCUAGUGAGAUUUAAGAGCUCCAACAGAGGCCCACACCAGUUUCAGCAGAUUUCUGCAAAAGCUUCCGAAAAAAGGAGUGGAAUCUGGCCUGAAACUCCCGUCCUCUUCAAAUCCACAAAGCCGCAGCUCUCCUCAUCUUCAAAUCCUUCUUCUACCCAGAAGCCUUCCGCAAAUAAUCCCAAAUUGGAUUAAUUUCUCAGCCACCCUUACUUUACAGUUUUCUCGAGCUACUGCUAAAGGUCUGUAUAAAAAGAAACAUCACCAGUAUCUUUCAGGAAGAAAGCGGGGCUCCGAAAUGCACAGAUCCGAUCUGCAGUCGGCCGAAGUGAUGGAGCCACCAGUCAAGAGAAAGCCCACAAGCCACUGCCAGCGUUUCUAUCACUACUGCACCCGAGAGCCAAAUUAGAGUUUGAGUCAGGCUCAAUUCCCUUGCCUGGAGCUGCUGACUUGGGUUGCGGUCAGUGAGUUUCACCUUGUGUUCACAUCCCAGCCAUUUAAAUAAAAUCCUAUGCAGCACA